RNAcentral lists this transfer RNA (86 nucleotides) under Malassezia restricta CBS 7877. RNAcentral describes it as "tRNA-Arg". It matches the Rfam family "tRNA". Rfam says of the family: Transfer RNA (tRNA) molecules are approximately 80 nucleotides in length. Their secondary structure includes four short double-helical elements and three loops (D, anti-codon, and T loops). Further hydrogen bonds mediate the characteristic L-shaped molecular structure. tRNAs have two regions of fundamental functional importance: the anti-codon, which is responsible for specific mRNA codon recognition, and the 3' end, to which the tRNAs corresponding amino acid is attached (by aminoacyl-tRNA synthetases). tRNAs cope with the degeneracy of the genetic code in two manners: having more than one tRNA (with a specific anti-codon) for a particular amino acid; and 'wobble' base-pairing, i.e. permitting non-standard base-pairing at the 3rd anti-codon position. The record is from RNAcentral. Lineage: Eukaryota; Fungi; Basidiomycota; Malasseziomycetes; Malasseziales; Malasseziaceae.
UGGCCGGUUAGCACAAUUGGUAGUGUGUCUGACUACGAUUCAAUCGGGAAUCAGGAGGUUGCGGGUUCGAGCCCCGUGCUGGUCAU